AGAGUUUGAUCAUGGCUCAGGAUGAACGCUAGCGGCAGGCUUAAUACAUGCAAGUCGAGGGGCAGCGGGGGUAGCAAUACCUGCCGGCGACCGGCAAACGGGUGCGGAACACGUACAGAACUUUCCUCUGAGUGUGGGAUAGCCCGGAGAAAUCCGGAUUAAUACCACAUAGUAUUUUGGAGUGGCAUCACUUUAAAAUUAAAGAUUUAUCGCUUAGAGAUGGCUGUGCGGCUGAUUAGGUAGUUGGUGUAGGUAACGGCUCACCAAGCCAACGAUCAGUAACUGGUGUGAGAGCACGACCAGUCACACGGGCACUGAGACACGGGCCCGACUCCUACGGGAGGCAGCAGUAAGGAAUAUUGGUCAAUGGAGGCAACUCUGAACCAGCCAUGCCGCGUGAAGGAUGAAUGCCCUCUGGGUUGUAAACUUCUUUUAUCUGGGACGAAACACUCUUAUUCUUAAGAGCUUGACGGUACCAGAGGAAUAAGCACCGGCUAACUCCGUGCCAGCAGCCGCGGUAAUACGGAGGGUGCAAGCGUUAUCCGGAUUCACUGGGUUUAAAGGGUGCGUAGGUGGGUUGGUAAGUCAGUGGUGAAAUCUCCGUGCUUAACAUGGAAACUGCCAUUGAUACUACUGGUCUUGAAUUUUCUGGAGGAUAGCGGAAUAUGUCUGUAGCGGUGAAAUGCUUAGAUAUGACAUAGAACACCAAUUGCGAAGGCAGCUAUCUACAGGGAUAUUGACACUGAGCACGAAAGCGUGGGGAUCAAACAGGAUUAGAUACCCUAGUAGUCC
This 792-nucleotide ribosomal RNA is filed under the name uncultured bacterium. Its description in RNAcentral is "bacterial SSU rRNA". It matches the Rfam family "Bacterial small subunit ribosomal RNA", at positions 8 to 796 of the family's 1533-position model. The record is from RNAcentral.